CCAAGGAUGAAUACGCGGAUGCAACAUGGAUGAACCGAAGAUGAUGAUAUCGCUAAGAAUGGACGAACGUAUAAUGGAUGAUAUGGGCGAGUCUUGUAGUUGGUGUGAGUGAGAGAGCGAGAGAGUGUGUGAGGGUGUGUGUUUGUGUGUGUGUUGGGUUGGGGAGAAGGACCCCACCUCGGCAGACGAGGAGGAAGAUGAAGCCUCCAUCGCAAAAGAGCAUCAUCAUCGCAUCAUCGCAUCAGAUCGCAGCGCUGCUUUGCGAGAGACGGCGACCCAGCGGAGCGAUCCGACCCUCACCUCCCUUAUUGUCUUCUUCUUCUUCUUCAUGUGAAGCCAGCUCCCUCUGCCUGCCUGCCUGCCUGCCUGCCUCACCCCAAUUCGCAACAAAACAAACACCACCCUAUGCCACACACACCCAAUGCCAUCCCUCCCUCGCUGCAGGUCAGACUGCUGGCGCAUUCCAUCCCCUCAUCUCGCAUGAUAUUCUGUCUGCACCGCGUCUUUCCAGGCGUUUUGUUCGCGGAGGCAUUCCGUUUGUGGAACUCUGUCAGCGGAUCUGGUUCUCUUGAGUGGAAGAAGAGGGAGAGGAGGUAGCUUUUUUCGCUGGUUGAGAUUCUCGUGUCUUAGAGACUGGGAACUGGAGCUCAACCAUGGCGUCAAACGUAUGGCACAAUUUGAUGUCCCUGAGGUUUGCAGGGUUUAUGUUAUGCCUUGGGGCAGGGGCGGAGUGGUUCUUGCAAGUGAAGGAGGCUAUGAAGGUGCUAACGAGGGUGUGUAAUCCCAUGAGGAAAAGUGAGAAGAGAUCUCCACCCGUCACUCAUAAGAUCAAAAUGGCCAGUAUUCGCAUGUCCAUGGAUGAGGUAGCGAAGACAUACAAAAUCACUCCGGUUCGUAGGCUGUAAUUAACAUGUAUGCAGCCAUUCUUGCACCUCAUCUUCCUCAAGUGCCCGUGUAUAGUAGUAGCUGCAGGACUGGACUAGCUUGCCAAAAGGGCUCUCUUUUCUGUACAACCCAAAGAGUUGGGCUUAAUCAGUGAUCCAGAGUGGGUGCUAACAUUCACCAGAUCUAUAUUUUCCCGUUUAUAUUGUGACCCAAAAACAUUGCCGAGUCAGGGAAGGCUGUGAAUUCUAACCUUCUGCAUUCGCAUGGGGUUUGGAUCGAUGACUCGAUCUUGGUUUUUUGUGUCCUAAGCCCUGCAAUGAAUUGAACUUCUGCUUUAGCUCGUAGCAAAUUCCAA
Physcomitrium patens is the source of this 1240-nucleotide non-coding RNA. NCBI's taxonomy places the organism in Eukaryota, Viridiplantae, Streptophyta, Bryopsida, Funariales, Funariaceae. The record is from RefSeq and is a predicted model, not a curated record.